GCACUCGUCGUUUAAUGGAUAGGACACUAGCUUGCGGAGCUGGUAAUCGUGGUUCGAUUCCACGCGAGUGCA
RNAcentral lists this transfer RNA (72 nucleotides) under Candidatus Magasanikiibacteriota bacterium. Its description in RNAcentral is "tRNA-Arg". It matches the Rfam family "tRNA". Rfam says of the family: Transfer RNA (tRNA) molecules are approximately 80 nucleotides in length. Their secondary structure includes four short double-helical elements and three loops (D, anti-codon, and T loops). The record is from RNAcentral. Lineage: Bacteria; Candidatus Magasanikiibacteriota.